AACAUAGAAAAACACACAAUAAAAUAUAAUUGGAAGGCUUAACUCAAUCAAAAAACGUAAAUAAACACACUAUGAAUGAAUAAAUUUGAUCUGUGAUAUCUGAAUGCAAAUGCACAGUUAAUAAAAUAUUAGGGACAAACAUUCAAGGCCAAAAAGCAAACAAACAGGUCAAAACAAAGCCAUGGCAAGACCCCACCGCGAA
This 202-nucleotide long non-coding RNA is filed under the name Mytilus galloprovincialis (Mediterranean mussel). Lineage: Eukaryota; Metazoa; Mollusca; Bivalvia; Mytilida; Mytilidae. The record is from RNAcentral.